UGAAUGGCGAGUUUGAUCCUGGCUCAGGAUAAACGCUGGCGGCGUGCCUAACACAUGCAAGUCGAACGUCUCUUUCUUCGGGAAGAGGAGUGGCGGACGGGUGAGGAACACGUGGGAACCUGCCCUUUAGUGAGGAAUACCGGCGAGAAAUCGCCGACAAGACCGCAUAGCCCUCUUUGAUGAGAGUCAAAGAAGGAAAGCUUCGCAAGAGGCGCUAGAGGAGGGGCCUGCGUCCGAUUAGCUAGUUGGUGGGGUAAGAGCCUACCAAGGCGUCGAUCGGUAGCUGGUCUGAGAGGACGAUCAGCCACACUGGGAUUGAGAACGGCCCAGACUCCUACGGGGGGCAGCAGUGAGGAAUUUUCGGCAAUGGGGGAAACCCUGACCGAGCAACGCCGCGUGCAGGAAGACGGCCUUCGGGUUGUAAACUGCUUUUCUUUGGGACGAGAACGGACGGUACCAGAGGAAUCAGCCCCGGCUCACUACGUGCCAGCAGCCGCGGUAAUACGUAGGGGGCGAGCGUUGUCCGGAGUGACUGGGCGUAAAGGGCCCGCAGGCGGUGACGCGCGUUUUGAGUGACAGCUCCCGGCUUCACUGGGAGAGUAUUCAGAAGACGGCGUGACUUGAGGGUGAGAGAGGGACACGGAAUUCCGGGUGUAGUGGUGAAAUGCGUAGAUAUCCGGAGGAACACCGAAGGCGAAGGCAGUGUCCUGGCUCAUACCUGACGCUGAGGGGCGAAAGCUAGGGGAGCGAACGGGAUUAGAUACCCCGGUAGUCCUAGCCGUAAACGAUGACCACUAGGUGUGCGAGGUAUCGACCCCUUGCGUGCCGUCGCAAACGCAAUAAGUGGUCCGCCUGGGGAGUACGGUCGCAAGAUUAAAACUCAAAGGAAUUGACGGGGACCCGCACAAGCAGCGGAGCGUGUGGUUUAAUUCGAUGCAACGCGAAGAACCUUACCAGGGUUUGACAUGCUUUUGCACCGCCGAGAGAUCGGCGUCCUCGCAAGAGGCGGAAGCACAGGUGCUGCAUGGCUGUCGUCAGCUCGUGCCGUGAGGUGUUGGGUUAAGUCCCGCAACGAGCGCAACCCCCGUGGUCGGUUGUAAGUUUCCGACCAGACUGCCACGAUCAACGUGGAGGAAGGUGGGGAUGACGUCAAGUCAGCACGGCCCUUACGUCCUGGGCGACACACACGCUACAAUGGCCGAGACAACGGGACGCCAACCCGCGAGGGGGAGCCAAUCCCAGCAAACUCGGUCUCAGUUCAGAUUGCAGGCUGCAACCCGCCUGCAUGAAGAUGGAGUUGCUAGUAACCGUGGGUCAGCACACCACGGUGAAUACGUUCCCGGGUCUUGUACACACCGCCCGUCACACCACGAAAGUCGGCAACACCUGAAGCCGCUGGGCUAACCUCUCAGGAGGAGGCACGCGUCGAGGGUGGGGUCGGUGAUUGGGGUGAAGUCGUAACAAGGUAGCCGUACCGGAAGGUGCGGCUGGAUCACCUCCUUU
This 1503-nucleotide ribosomal RNA is filed under the name Chloroflexota bacterium. RNAcentral's name for it is "bacterial SSU rRNA". It matches the Rfam family "Bacterial small subunit ribosomal RNA". Lineage: Bacteria; Bacillati; Chloroflexota. The record is from RNAcentral.